This is a long non-coding RNA of Oncorhynchus kisutch (coho salmon), 5144 nucleotides long. RefSeq lists it as uncharacterized. Lineage: Eukaryota; Metazoa; Chordata; Actinopteri; Salmoniformes; Salmonidae. The transcript is spliced from 2 exons. The record is from RefSeq and is a predicted model, not a curated record.
AAUUCUGAUUGGGAAAUAAUACAGAGGAAUUUAGAAUUCCUUCAACAGGUGCCUUCAAAAUUAACAAUGAAUGUUAUUUGAAAACCAGAGGAGGCUGGUGGGAAGAGCUAUAGGAGAACGGGCUCAUUCUAAUGGUUGGAAUGGAACCUGCAUUGCGUGCUGUUUGGGGUUUUAGGCUGGGUUUCUGUACAGCACUUUGAGAUAUUAGCUGAUGUACGAAGGGCUAUAUAAAUACAUUUGAUUUGAAUCAAUGGAACAGUAUCAAACAUACGGAAACCACGUUUCACUCCAUUCUAUUGCCAUUCCAGCCAUUACAAUGAGGCUGUCCUCCUAUAGCUCCUCCCACGAGCCUCAAUUGUUGACCUAAUUUGAAACAUUACUCCACUAAAUCAUGGGGGGGGGGGGAACAAAAUAGCAUCAGGGGACAUUAAGCAAUCAAAUAGCAACCAAAAAAAAUAGCAUGGUGUGUGUGAUUGUAUGCAUGGGUGUGGAAAGAAAGAUCAUAGAUGAUAGUUAUGGUUGUAGUUGGUAUGGGGCAGCACUGGUAUGGGGCAACCCAGGACAGUACUGGCCCUGUCCUGUCAUUAGUGCUCUGCCUGUGUGCUCUGCUGAGAGAUGAGCUUUCAGAGGCACCAUCAACAAAUAUCCCUUGUUAAAAUACGUACAAAAUUUGCAGGAGACACGAUGGUGUAGGUUCUGCUUUAGAAGAGAAUGCCCUGGAUUCUCCAUGUUUAUAGUCAUGGCAAGCUUUAUAUAAUAGCUAUUAACAAUUGAAAGCUGUGAAUUUUUCUCCAUCCUCCCGAUUCAGAAUAUAUCAUUUUCAUAGUCAUGGCACACUUUGUUUAAGCUAUUGAAGAUUAAAAUCAUGAAUCAUUUUAUUUUAAUGAAAAAAAUGUUUUAUUGUUCCCCCCGAUUCAGAAUAGACCAUAUUCAUAGUCAUGGUUGCUUGGUUCAGUAGCUAUUGAUGACAGGAAAUUGAAUAUCCAUUAUAAAACAAAUUUUACCUUGGUGUCACAAUAUUUCAUAAUUAUUCAUAUUGAACCAAAACACUUGUUUUCUUGUGCAUCAAUGCAUUCAAACAACAACCUAGCCUGACUAUUUGGGUAUCAGUCAACACCCUCCUUAAUCAGAACAACCCAGCUGUAAAAGCAAGCAAUACCCUCUUAUCUGUAACACUUUAAUCACUUUAUUUUCUACUCCACUCAGACAAUGGGAGGUUUGCGGAGUUGGUGCUUAUUCAAGGCACUGUUCCCAGUGAUUAUGAGAGGUGGACUCCUGUGGGAACAGCACAAAGCCCAGAGCGGACACAGCCUUCCACUUCAACCCGCGCUUUAAGAGAUCUCCCUGCAUCAUGUGCAAGAUGAUGCAGAGAGCUGCGGCAAGGGAAGUUAUGCUGCAUGAGCACGCCUUCACACUGGGGUCAACCUUUGAGAUGAUCGUCCUGGUGCAGAAAGAUGAGUUUAAAGUGAGGAUGACUCUUGUGAUCAGAUUCAGAUGCCUCAUUGCCCAUAUUCGUGAAGCGUCUCAGAGUAGCAGUGCUGAUAUAGGAUCAGUUUGAACUUUUCGACCACAAUGAAUAAGAUGACAUCAUGGACUAUGGGGACCUGUUCCUAGAUCAGCACACUAAGACAUUUGUUGCCAAAACCCUUGAUAAAUUGAAAUGUAGAACAUUCAUAAUACUUUUUCACAAAAUGAUAUUACUCCUGUGUGAACUAUGGGCUUUAUUACUUCUGUACAAGUGGAAAAGAAAUACUCAGCACCCGCCACAUCCAUCACCCCAUCCCAAAACAUCUUCCAGCGUCUAUGCAUACGGACCCAGAAUCCCCUGAUCUGUAUAGCCUGUCCUGGAUCAAUAAAAAGCAGACAUUGAAUAUUCCUUUGAGCAUGGUGAAGUUAUUCAUUACAAUUUGGAAGGUGUUUUAAUACACCCAGUCACUACAAAGAUACAGGUGUCCUUCCUAACCCAGUUGAAUGAGAGGAAGGAAACCUCUCAGGGAUUUUACCAUGAGGCCAAAUGUGAUUUUAAACCAGUUUACAGAGUUAAAUGGCUUUAAUAGAAGAAAAUUGAGAAUUAACAACCUUGCAGUUACUCCACAUGUACAGAAUAAAAAUAUUCCAAAACAUGCAUCCUGUUUGCAUUAAGGCACUAAAGUAAAACUGGAAGAAAGGAACUUUUUGUUCUGAAUACAAAGCAUUAUGUUUGGUGCAAAUCCAACACAGCAUAUGACUGAAUACCAAUCUUGCAUUUCCUUGUUUUUGUGUUCCAGGGUUGUAUAUUCAUCAAGCAUGGGGAAAGUGCUUAAUCAGUUUGCCUUCAUGACCUAGUAAUAAUUCAGUAUAAUAUAUUUUUCACUUCCCUUAGUGGUUGAGGUUGACUUCAGGAGGUUUCUUAUGUUGUCUGAGGUAAAAGCCAAAUAUAUCAUGUGGUGGAUGAAUCAGAAUUAGUUGGGUAACAUAAGUCAUUAAGAUGUCAUAUCUGCAUAAUAUUCUUAUGUGAUAUACUUUUUAUUAGAAUGUAUUUCUAAUAGACUCUAGUGUUGGUAGUUGCAUUUCUUCCCUCAGCUGGGGCUCAGUCAUUUGGGGCCCAGAGAGGGGAGAGGUCAGGCUUGUCUUUUACAUGUCUCUGGUGCUAUGCAGAAUAUCAGAAAGGGAAGAGGACAGGAGGGAACAUUGUCUUCAUAUGUGAAUGUAUCUGUUAAACCAUGUGAAGAGAUGGCGUGAUUAAGGGGGAACCAAUUACUUGUCUCCACAAUGUCUGUGCUCCAGUCACUGCCCUCGGUGAGCUUGUCCAAGAGUGGGGUCAAUAGUGAGUUUACUUGAGAUGGGAGUAUCUAGAGUUGACAAUUGAGUUAUGCCAUUGGAUAAGGUCAUGGUUCUGUGCUAUGAAGUACCAGGAACAAGAUUAGAACCUCGUCUUAGGGACCAAACUGAGCGAUAAUUUAUAGAGAAUGCUAUCUGGCUAUGGGAUACUCCUCUCUCUCAAGAAAAAGUAUUUAUUUGUGAACUGUUCCUAAGAUCUGUGGUUCGUCAUGUAGGUUGAGAGGGGUGUAUCUAGGCUGUAACAGAUCUUUGUACUUUUCUGAAGUCACUUUCAAUGGUUCAUUAGAUGGCACAUCAUUGAAAGUCAAAUUGCUAUUGCAAAGCUCUUAUUAAAGAUGUAGUUUAAGUAGAACUCUGACUGGUGUGUGACGUUUAACUCUCCUCGUUUGGUAAAGCAGAAAUAAGCCACCAAUCACGUUGAGGUUGACUUUAGGAGGUUUCUUAUGUUGUCUGAGGUAAAAGCCAAAUAUAUCAGUGUUUAAUUGUGGUCUACCUCAUUCCAGCUCCAAAAGGUUGACAUGUUUUGGAUCUGUAUACAAUGACUGAGGUUCAGGUAAAGACUGUCAACUUUCAUUUGAGGGUAUUUCAUACAUAUCAGGUGAACAGUGUAGAAAUCAAAGCAUUUUUGUGUAUAGUCCACCAAUUUGAGUUAGAUAUGAUAUUUAUGCCUCUAUCAUUAUUACAAUAACAGGGAAGGUUAACAUUUUUUUUUUUGGGGGGGGGGGGUAUAUAUUUGUAAUUGUGGAUACUACAUCUAACUUUCUCCCUCAUUGUUCACGAUUCAUUCAGAACUAUCCGUAAUCCUGGUAGUAUCCACAUUAAUGUAGACAUGUUUAGAAACAGAUAUUCUAAUUUUCAAAAUGACGUAAUACAUUUACCAUUCAUUUCUAUUGGGCACAAAAUAAUCUGAAACACAGCAGCAAAUGCAUCCAACAAGUUUGUAGAGUCACAAUCUUGAUGUAAUCAUUGUGUUCUGGGAAUAUGGGACCAAAUAAGAAGCUUUUGACCACUUUAAUACACAUAAGAGUAAGAGCUCCCGAGUGGCGCAGCAGUCUAAGGCACUGCAUCUCAGUGCAAGAUGCAUCACUACAGGCCCAGAUUUGAAUCCAGGCCAUUUCACAUCCGGCCAUGAUUGGGAGUCCCAUAGGGUGGCACACAAUUGGCCCAGCGUCGUCCAGGUUUGGCCAUCAUUGUAAAUAAGAAUGUAUUUAAAUGAAAUGCCUAAUUAAAUGAAGGUAAAGACUUAAAAAAAAUUGUAAGUAAUUUCUCCUGAUAAUUUUAAAAUCCAAUGCGUCUGUCCUAAUAGUUUGAGCUCACUGUAUAUCAGAUCUGGAAAUAACCACGUAGAUAAAAGUAGGCUCUUCUGUAGCUACCUAGAGUAUUCAUUAGCGAACAAGUACCUUAUUGUGCAAUAUGUGGUAGUUCAAUGUUGGUCUUUCUUCCAUUUGCCUAGCCCUAGUGAAUACGUGCAUAGCACGCAAACUAGCAGUCCUGCGGCUCCUCUUAGGUGUCAGCUUGUUACUUGGUAACCAACAUAUAACGUGUUGAUUACGUUGGCGCAGAGGCUAUGGAAGCCAGAGUAUUCUCCCACUGUUUCCCCAUCUCUCUAGGUGGCAGGGAACGGUGCUCAUAUGCUGCACUAUAAGCACAGACUGGACCUGGAUAAGGUGGACCCACUGGCCAUCUCUGGAAAAGUCAAAAGUUCAGGCCAUCAGCUUCUUCCCCUGCUCUGAGUAACCCAUCCUAACCUCAUUAUACAUCAGAUGUGUAUUAAGAACAAAUUCUUAUUUAUAUUGACGGCCUACAACAGCCAACUGUGUGCUGCCAUGGGACUACCAAUCAAGGCCAGUUGUGAUAGUGUGGAAUCAAACUUAUGGUCUGUAGACACCUCUAGCACUGAGACAGUGCCUUAAACCGCUGCACCACUCGGGAGCCAUCACUAUUAUUGCAGAGUCAGAUUAAUAUAAAUUCACAUGCUUUGUAAACAUGAUUACGGAAAUCGUUCUUGCAUGACACAUCUGAAAUCAGGCUACUUGAUGGCACUGAAAAUCACAUGGUAAACAUCGAAGUAGAACAAAUUCUUAUUUACAAUGAUGGCCUACUGGGGAACAGUGGGUUAAGUGCUUUGCUCAGGGUCAGAACGAGAUGUUUUACCUUGUCAGCUCAGGAAUUCAAUCCAGCACUGGCCCAAAGCUCUAACCAACCACUAGGCUACCUUAGUUAUGUGACAGGUGGGUUCUUGUCUAAAUUCAUAAACAUGUUUUCAGAUCAUUUCCCCAAUGCCCCAUAGACUUUCUUGCCCAAAUGUACAAUGAAAUUCCCAG